RNAcentral lists this ribosomal RNA (1436 nucleotides) under uncultured organism. RNAcentral describes it as "16S ribosomal RNA". It matches the Rfam family "Bacterial small subunit ribosomal RNA". The record is from RNAcentral.
CAGGCUUAACACAUGCAAGUCGAGGGGCAGCAUGGUCUUAGCUUGCUAAGGCCGAUGGCGACCGGCGCACGGGUGAGUAACACAUAUCCAACCUGCCGUCUACUCUUGGACAGCCUUCUGAAAGGAAGAUUAAUACAAGAUGGCAUCAUGAGUCCGCAUGUUCACAUGAUUAAAGGUAUUCCGGUAGACGAUGGGGAUGCGUUCCAUUAGAUAGUAGGCGGGGUAACGGCCCACCUAGUCUUCGAUGGAUAGGGGUUCUGAGAGGAAGGUCCCCCACAUUGGAACUGAGACACGGUCCAAACUCCUACGGGAGGCAGCAGUGAGGAAUAUUGGUCAAUGGGCGAGAGCCUGAACCAGCCAAGUAGCGUGAAGGAUGACUGCCCUAUGGGUUGUAAACUUCUUUUAUAAAGGAAUAAAGUCGGGUAUGGAUACCCGUUUGCAUGUACUUUAUGAAUAAGGAUCGGCUAACUCCGUGCCAGCAGCCGCGGUAAUACGGAGGAUCCGAGCGUUAUCCGGAUUUAUUGGGUUUAAAGGGAGCGUAGAUGGAUGUUUAAGUCAGUUGUGAAAGUUUGCGGCUCAACCGUAAAAUUGCAGUUGAUACUGGAUAUCUUGAGUGCAGUUGAGGCAGGCGGAAUUCGUGGUGUAGCGGUGAAAUGCUUAGAUAUCACGAAGAACUCCGAUUGCGAAGGCAGCCUGCUAAGCUGCAACUGACAUUGAGGCUCGAAAGUGUGGGUAUCAAACAGGAUUAGAUACCCUGGUAGUCCACACGGUAAACGAUGAAUACUCGCUGUUUGCGAUAUACUGCAAGCGGCCAAGCGAAAGCGUUAAGUAUUCCACCUGGGGAGUACGCCGGCAACGGUGAAACUCAAAGGAAUUGACGGGGGCCCGCACAAGCGGAGGAACAUGUGGUUUAAUUCGAUGAUACGCGAGGAACCUUACCCGGGCUUAAAUUGCAGAUGAAUUACGGUGAAAGCCGUAAGCCGCAAGGCAUCUGUGAAGGUGCUGCAUGGUUGUCGUCAGCUCGUGCCGUGAGGUGUCGGCUUAAGUGCCAUAACGAGCGCAACCCUUGUUGUCAGUUACUAACAGGUUCCGCUGAGGACUCUGACAAGACUGCCAUCGUAAGAUGUGAGGAAGGUGGGGAUGACGUCAAAUCAGCACGGCCCUUACGUCCGGGGCUACACACGUGUUACAAUGGGGGGUACAGAGGGCCGCUACCACGCGAGUGGAUGCCAAUCCCCAAAACCUCUCUCAGUUCGGACUGGAGUCUGCAACCCGACUCCACGAAGCUGGAUUCGCUAGUAAUCGCGCAUCAGCCACGGCGCGGUGAAUACGUUCCCGGGCCUUGUACACACCGCCCGUCAAGCCAUGGGAGCCGGGGGUACCUGAAGUGCGUAACCGCGAGGAGCGCCCUAGGGUAAAACUGGUGACUGGGGCUA